RNAcentral lists this ribosomal RNA (250 nucleotides) under uncultured prokaryote. RNAcentral describes it as "partial 16S ribosomal RNA". It matches the Rfam family "Bacterial small subunit ribosomal RNA", at positions 524 to 773 of the family's 1533-position model. The record is from RNAcentral.
UACGGAGGAUGCGAGCGUUAUCCGGAUUUAUUGGGUUUAAAGGGCGCGUAGGCGGUUUGCCAAGUCAGCGGUGAAACGCAAGGGCUCAACCCUUGACCUGCGGUUGAAACUGGCGGACUUGAAUGCGGAUGCUGUGGGAGGAAUGUGCGGUGUAGCGGUGAAAUGCAUAGAUAUCACACAGAACACCGAUUGCGAAGGCAUCUCACAAAUCCGUGAUUGACGCUGAGGCACGAAAGUGUGGGGAUCAAAU